RNAcentral lists this ribosomal RNA (639 nucleotides) under Vibrio harveyi. Its description in RNAcentral is "bacterial SSU rRNA". It matches the Rfam family "Bacterial small subunit ribosomal RNA", at positions 69 to 701 of the family's 1533-position model. The record is from RNAcentral. Lineage: Bacteria; Pseudomonadati; Pseudomonadota; Gammaproteobacteria; Vibrionales; Vibrionaceae.
GAACCUUCGGGGAACGAUAACGGCGUCGAGCGGCGGACGGGUGAGUAAUGCCUAGGAAAUUGCCCUGAUGUGGGGGAUAACCAUUGGAAACGAUGGCUAAUACCGCAUAAUACCUACGGGUCAAAGAGGGGGACCUUCGGGCCUCUCGCGUCAGGAUAUGCCUAGGUGGGAUUAGCUAGUUGGUGAGGUAAUGGCUCACCAAGGCGACGAUCCCUAGCUGGUCUGAGAGGAUGAUCAGCCACACUGGAACUGAGACACGGUCCAGACUCCUACGGGAGGCAGCAGUGGGGAAUAUUGCACAAUGGGCGCAAGCCUGAUGCAGCCAUGCCGCGUGUGUGAAGAAGGCCUUCGGGUUGUAAAGCACUUUCAGUCGUGAGGAAGGUAGUGUAGUUAAUAGCUGCAUUAUUUGACGUUAGCGACAGAAGAAGCACCGGCUAACUCCGUGCCAGCAGCCGCGGUAAUACGGAGGGUGCGAGCGUUAAUCGGAAUUACUGGGCGUAAAGCGCAUGCAGGUGGUUUGUUAAGUCAGAUGUGAAAGCCCGGGGCUCAACCUCGGAAUAGCAUUUGAAACUGGCAGACUAGAGUACUGUAGAGGGGGGUAGAAUUUCAGGUGUAGCGGUGAAAUGCGUAGAGAUCUGA